UUUUUUUUUUUUUUGAAAUGUGAAAGAUUGGUUCCUAUCUACAUAGGGAUGAGAAUCUAUUCUUACAAACCAAAAGGCUUCAAAGGAAUUUUUCUGGUGUACAUAUUUUUACCGUUUAGAAUUUCUAUAAAAUUCCUGUAAAACCAAAGGAGGCCUAAACCUUAGCCUAGACCCAGUUUAAAAAAAAACUAUUAUGUGAAUCAAAUAGCAUCUCUUUCCGUAUUCAUCUUCAUAGGAACAUUUUAUACAUGUCAUCUCAUUUCGGCCUCGUUUGAUUCAUAGGAUAAGAAUGACAUAGGAAGUGAGAUGACAUGUAUCUCAAUUACUAUAGAAAAAAGUAUGUUAUUUGAUGCAUGGGAUAAGAAUGCAUCCAUCGAGUCUAGGCUAAUGAAUUUUUUUCUUUGAAAUGUGAGGAUUGAUUUCUAUCCUACACAGAAAUGGAAAUCCAUUCCUACAAAUCCACUCCAAAGAAGAUUUUCCUAUGCAAAUCCUAUCAUAUGAAAUUCCUACGCACCAAUGGAGGCCUUUUGCAAAUUUCAUAUUCUUGUGAUAUUCCUAUCAUAUGAACUAAAGGAGGUGUGAAUGAGGACUAAAAUGUGGUCCUAGACGCAUCCGGUGCUAGCAGGUAUUAGUAUUUUUCCAAUUUCUAGUGUGUAAAUCUUUGUGAUGAUAGUAAGAAUCUAACAAUAGCGACGCACCAGUAGCGCGUGAUAGCAAUAUGACUGCCCGCUUUCAAUGGUGCACGCACAUCAGCGUUUCCCGAAAAGACUUUCAUAAGAAAGAAAGAGAAGAAAAAAUAGACCAAUUAUUAGUAUACAAGAUAAUAUCCAGCACCAUCAGCAGCAUAAACUUGUGGCUGGCGCCAGUCACAUUCCAAUAGCUUAAGCGGAACGCUUUGUAGCUUCCAAUCAGUGUUCUAGAACACGAUAUGCAAUCCAUCCUAGGAUGGAUGGAUGAUACUGUUCAAGGACCACUUGUGGGCUCAACCUACGGGCCAAUAUGCAAAAUGUACCCUUUGGAACAUGGUGGCAAUUACACCUGGUUACGUAUUUUAUUUUUAAAAAUUUCAGAAAAUUUCAAAACGUUCCAAAACUUUUUCCCAGCAAACUUGAGAUGUUGUUUCUGGUGUACAGAAAUAUUCUGCAACGAAAUAUUCUCUGACAAAUAUUCUACGGCGUAUAUAAAAACAAAUUUGUUUUUUUACAUCCACAACAACAUGAAAGUUAUUUCUUCGCGGAAGUUUUUAUACAAGUGCAAAAUAAAUCUACUUUGUUCGUAAAAAGUUUCAGAAUUUUUUGACUUUCUUACAAAUUACUAUUUAAAAAAACCGGGUGUAAUUACACCCGAGAGCCAUACAUUACGUUCCCGUCCGCCAAUAUAUGUACUGUUCACUCUGUUCACAAAUUUAGUAUUAUAAGAUGUUUUGGAUAUGUUGAUAUGAACUACACACGGAUUCAAAUGAGUACACAAACAUAGUAAAAUGUAUCUAUAUACUCCCUCCGUCCGAAAAUACUUGUCAUCAAAAUGGAUAAGAAGGGGUGUAUCUAGAACUAAAAUACAUCUAGAUACAUCCUUUUUUAAUCAUCUUGAUGACAAGUAUUUCCGGACGGAGGGAGUACAUCUUAUUCAGAAAAGGUUAAAAUAGCUUAUACUCAAAACUAUUUAUGAACAGAGGGAGUAUUGUUUAUAUUCAAAACUGAUUAAUGACAUUUAUUAUCUAAGAGAUAUGUAAAAUGGAUCUUACUCAUAACUCAUUUUCCAUAUCCCAAUUUUGACACUUAUUUUGGGACGGAGGGAGUAUUUCAUAUGCGUGGUAUAUACGACACCGAACACUAUUUCAAGGAAACUGUGAACUGAUUUGUUGACAGUUGAAUAAAAUAAAGUUAGUCAGCAGGCUAAAUUGUUUACAAGAGAACAGAUACAUCAUCAACUGUGAUCCAAAUUUUUUCCAUCACAUGGCCAUAAAGAACAGCUACAUCAUCAACCAGAUAAGGAUAACAGGUACAUCAUGCAUUCAUGGUUGAGGAGCCUAGUUUUGUCAGGGCAAAGCCAACCAUGCAUGCGCUAUACCUUCCACACAAGACAACAUAAAGAAACCUUGCAGAAUUGUGAACAG
Molecule: long non-coding RNA, 2116 nt
Filed under: Triticum aestivum (bread wheat)
Lineage: Eukaryota; Viridiplantae; Streptophyta; Magnoliopsida; Poales; Poaceae
Description: long non-coding RNA (TAES_LNC027399)
Rfam family: MIR1120/MIR1122 microRNA precursor family (bases 1488-1622)
Source: RNAcentral